CCCCAGACUCCUACGGGAGGCAGCAGUGAGGAAUAUUGGUCAAUGGGCGAGAGCCUGAACCAGCCAAGUCGCGUGAGGGAAGACGGUCCUAUGGAUUGUAAACCUCUUUUGUCGGGGAGCAAAAAGGCCUCGUGAGGCCACAAGUGAGAGUACCCGAAGAAAAAGCAUCGGCUAACUCCGUGCCAGCAGCCGCGGUAAUACGGAGGAUGCGAGCGUUAUCCGGAUUUAUUGGGUUUAAAGGGUGCGUAGGCUGUGAGGUAAGUCAGCGGUGAAAUGCCCCCGCUCAACGGGGUGAAGUGCCAUUGAUACUGCCUUGCUGGAAUGCGGAUGCCGUGGGAGGAAUGUGUGGUGUAGCGGUGAAAUGCAUAGAUAUCACACAGAACACCGAUUGCGAAGGCAUCUCACGAAUCCGCGAUUGACGCUGAUGCACGAAAGCGUGGGUAUCAAACAGGAUUAGAUACCCUCGUAC
Molecule: ribosomal RNA, 469 nt
Filed under: uncultured bacterium
Lineage: Bacteria
Description: bacterial SSU rRNA
Rfam family: Bacterial small subunit ribosomal RNA
Source: RNAcentral